UACGUAGGGGGCAAGCGUUGUCCGGAUUUAUUGGGCGUAAAGGGCACGCAGGCGGUCCAUUAAGUUCAGGGUGACAGUCAUCAGCUUAACUGAUGAAGUGCCUUGAAAACUGGUGGACUUGAGAGCGAGAGAGGGACAUGGAACUCCGGGUGGAGCAGUGAAAUGCGUAGAGAUCCGGAAGAACACCAAAGGCGAAGGCAGUGUCCUGGCUCGUUUCUGACGCUCAGGUGCGAAAGCGAGGGGAGCGAACGGGG
RNAcentral lists this ribosomal RNA (254 nucleotides) under uncultured bacterium. Its description in RNAcentral is "partial 16S ribosomal RNA". It matches the Rfam family "Bacterial small subunit ribosomal RNA", at positions 524 to 777 of the family's 1533-position model. The record is from RNAcentral.